This 132-nucleotide transfer RNA is filed under the name Parastagonospora nodorum SN15. RNAcentral describes it as "Phaeosphaeria nodorum SN15 tRNA". It matches the Rfam family "tRNA". Rfam says of the family: Transfer RNA (tRNA) molecules are approximately 80 nucleotides in length. Their secondary structure includes four short double-helical elements and three loops (D, anti-codon, and T loops). Lineage: Eukaryota; Fungi; Ascomycota; Dothideomycetes; Pleosporales; Phaeosphaeriaceae. The record is from Rfam by way of RNAcentral.
GGCGUGGUGGCGGAGUGGUUAUCGCGCAAGACUAGAAAUCUUGUUCCUUCGGGAGCGCAGGUUAGUCUUGCCUUAACUGAGAGUAUCUAGCUCGAAACUAAUCUUCCCUAGGUUCGAAUCCUGCCUACGUCG